RNAcentral lists this long non-coding RNA (726 nucleotides) under Olea europaea subsp. europaea. Lineage: Eukaryota; Viridiplantae; Streptophyta; Magnoliopsida; Lamiales; Oleaceae. The record is from RNAcentral.
UCAUAAUUAUCACGGACUUUGUCAUAAAAGAUCACAACAAAUAAAUUUGCACAUACUGCAAAUCAGCACCACACCACAACAUAUACAGUCACAACCACAAUCGAUUACAAUUAACGAAUACUUGGUCACAAUUAAUCAUAGUUAACACAAACUUGGUUAUCAGAGGGUUACCACAAAUAAAUCUACACACUACAGCACAACGCCACAACCCAUCACCACCACAAUCCAAAACAGAAAGCCGGACUGGAUCUAAUAUAGUAUCCCAACUGAGUACAUCCAACUAUAGAUUCAGUAAAAGCACAUAAGAUGAUGCAUCUUCAUGUCAAUUUAUAGAUCUUGACCCUGUUAACUUCGCCAUCUGUGAAAAUUCCAUCUGCACCAUCAACACUAAAAUCUCGGCCACCAAGUGCUAAAGCAACUCCACCUUCACCACCAAUUUUUUCCCCACCACCACUAGUGUACUCAGAUCCACCGUCACCUAUCUACUCACCUCCGCAGCCAGUCCCCACCCUACCCCCAAUACCUAAAUUCCCACCCCCAUAUCCUCUACCUCCAAUACAGUCACCACCACCACCACGUAUACCUAAAGAGGAAAAUAGGCAAAGAACCCAUUUUAGCAAGGGCGAGACUGGCUCGAGCCACGUUGAUUAAUCUAACCACCAGAAAUUGCAAUUGCAUUGGAAAACAGAAAAAAGCUCUAUCAAAGUGCUCAUGGCUCAGACUUGC